UUUAAUAGAAGCCAAAAGGAGGCCUCUCAUUGUUAAUGAGCUUAUUGAGUAAUAUUCCUAUUAAA
Molecule: transfer RNA, 65 nt
Filed under: Dermacentor rhinocerinus
Lineage: Eukaryota; Metazoa; Arthropoda; Arachnida; Ixodida; Ixodidae
Description: tRNA-Asn
Source: RNAcentral